This 595-nucleotide ribosomal RNA is filed under the name uncultured Gammaproteobacteria bacterium. RNAcentral describes it as "partial 16S ribosomal RNA". The record is from RNAcentral. Lineage: Bacteria; Pseudomonadati; Pseudomonadota; Gammaproteobacteria.
GGAGCUCUCCCAUAUGGUCGACCUGCAGGCGGCCGCGAAUUCACUAGUGAUUCGUAUUACCGCGGCUGCUGGCACAGAGUUAGCCGGUGCUUAUUCUGUCGGUAACGUCAAAACACUAACGUAUUAGGUUAAUGCCCUUCCUCCCAACUUAAAGUGCUUUACAAUCCGAAGACCUUCUUCACACACGCGGCAUGGCUGGAUCAGGCUUUCGCCCAUUGUCCAAUAUUCCCCACUGCUGCCUCCCGUAGGAGUCUGGACCGUGUCUCAGUUCCAGUGUGACUGAUCAUCCUCUCAGACCAGUUACGGAUCGUCGCCUUGGUGAGCCAUUACCUCACCAACUAGCUAAUCCGACCUAGGCUCAUCUGAUAGCGCAAGGCCCGAAGGUCCCCUGCUUUCUCCCGUAGGACGUAUGCGGUAUUAGCGUCCGUUUCCGAGCGUUAUCCCCCACUACCAGGCAGAUUCCUAGGCAUUACUCACCCGUCCGCCGCUCUCAAGAGGUGCAAGCACCUCUCUACCGCUCGACUUGCAUGUGUUAGGCCUGCCGCCAGCGUUCAAUCUGAGCCAUGAUCAAACUCUAAUCGAAUUCCCGCGGCCG